Molecule: long non-coding RNA, 1550 nt
Organism: Bombina bombina (fire-bellied toad)
Lineage: Eukaryota; Metazoa; Chordata; Amphibia; Anura; Bombinatoridae
Exons: 4
Source: RefSeq, a predicted model, not a curated record
UACACCUGAGGAAACGGUCUUAGUAACCAGGAAACGCGUUGUGAUAAUUGUUUUUAUUAAACAUUUUAUAUUAUACUAGUAGCACGGCAUUUUUGGUAUUUUAUUUUCUGCCAUUUGUGCACUGAUAUUUUUAUCGAUUGGAGGGUGAAUCCCUAGGUGCUUUUUGGAGUCUUUGUGGACCUUACGUUUUAGCCCAGAGGAUAACCUGUGAACACAGUGAUCUGGUAGCUGACAAGUGUCCAGGAGGUCUUUGUGGCACUUCUCAAGUGCCCCACAUCUCGUGAGUACAUUUCAAUAUUUGCGCACUUGCUAGUGUUCUCACUGAUACACACUAUUGUGGCACUUUUGUAUUUUUGUCUUGCACAGCCUAAUACUGAAGCAACAUUGGCCAAAUACAGCUAGCUGGACGGCUGCAAAUAGUUCAGAAGGCAUAUGUGGCACUUCUCAAGUGCUGGAAAUCUUGUAAGUAAGGUUUAUUUGGGGGCUUGGCCUUCUGUAGUUCAAACGAUACACACCAUUUGGCGCCUCUUCUCUUCUUCUUUUUAACAGUUUACACCAGCAUUUAAAUACUUUAUUAGAAUGUAUCAUGUACAUUGUUGAUGUGGUAAUAUCAUAGUAAAUUUGGCUAGCACACUAAUUAGCAGUUACCAUUAUAAGUAUAGGAAUAGGGUGCGCUAAUUUAGCCACACACAAAAUACCACUCUUUUGUUACAAAUUAUAUUAACCAAUGCCUUCUAAUUCCAAAUCGGGCGAUACAGAUGGUACGAGGUAGAGAACAAAGUAGUGCAUGUUCUCAGUAAUAUUAUCCUGGCUCUUUCAGUAAAAGUGUGUGACAGAACCAGUCCCUGUGUCAGUGCUGAAUGAGUUGUGUGUGUUUCAGGUGCCUAUAAAGUGUGAUGAUGUUGCUGUGUAUUUCUCUAUGGAGGAGUGGGAGUAUAUAGAGGGACACAGGGAGCUUUACAAGGACGUCAUGAUGGAGACUCACCAAGCACUAAAGACUAUGGAGAUCCCAGGAAAUGAGAGUUCAGAAUUAACAGGUCAGAGUGAGGAAAUUCUUUACACAUGAGCUACAGAUCUUGUACAGAAUAUUGAGUCAGUGGAGACCCCAUCAGACGUUGCUGCAGGUUAAAAUGAUGCUAAGAUUUCAUGUAAAACAGAACAAGCAGCAGAUCAGUGGCUACGGAAUAUGCCAGAAGCAGCUGAGCAGGAAAUAUGUGACAAUAUAAGUACAGGUGCAUUCACAAACCGCAAUAGUCCUAAUCAUGAUCGCAGUGUGGAUUCUUUCAAUCUUCUUCAAAAUCCAAGAAGCUACAUUACAAAUUUAUGUUCUGAAUGUGGGGAAUGUUUUAACCAGAAAUAAGAUCUCAUUACCCAUCAGAAAUAUCAUACAGGAGAAAAAGCAUUUUCAUGUUCUGAGUGUGGGAAAUGUUUUACCUGUAAAUCAUAUCUUAUUAACCAUCUUAAAAUGUAUAUAAGAGAGAAAUAAUUCUAAUGUUCUAAUUGUGGAAAUUGUUUUACAAUUAAAUCAAAUCUUAUUACUCAUCAGAAAA